GACAGAGGGUGCAAACGUUGUUCGGAUUUACUGGGCGUAAAGCGCGUGUAGGCGGCUUUGCAAGUCUUGUGUGAAAUCCCUCGGCUUAACCGAGGAAGUGCGCAAGAAACUGCAGAGCUUGAGUACCGGAGAGGAUGGUGGAAUUCCCGGUGUAGCGGUGAAAUGCGUAGAUAUCGGAAGGAACACCUGUGGCGAAAGCGGCUCACUGGACCAUUACUGACGCUGAGGCACGAAAGCUAGGGGAGCAAACAGG
Molecule: ribosomal RNA, 253 nt
Filed under: uncultured bacterium
Lineage: Bacteria
Description: partial 16S ribosomal RNA
Rfam family: Bacterial small subunit ribosomal RNA
Source: RNAcentral